This 87-nucleotide transfer RNA is filed under the name Erysipelothrix sp. RNAcentral's name for it is "tRNA-Leu". It matches the Rfam family "tRNA". Rfam says of the family: Transfer RNA (tRNA) molecules are approximately 80 nucleotides in length. Their secondary structure includes four short double-helical elements and three loops (D, anti-codon, and T loops). The record is from RNAcentral. Lineage: Bacteria; Bacillati; Bacillota; Erysipelotrichia; Erysipelotrichales; Erysipelotrichaceae.
GGGGAUGUGGCGGAAUCGGUAGACGCAUUGGACUUAAAAUCCAAUGAAGGUAACUUCGUGAGGGUUCAAGUCCCUCCAUCCCCACCA